AGCGGAAACGAGUUAUCUGAACCUUCGGGGAACGAUAACGGCGUCGAGCGGCGGACGGGUGAGUAAUGCCUGGGAAAUUGCCCUGAUGUGGGGGAUAACUAUUGGAAACGAUAGCUAAUACCGCAUAACGUCUACGGACCAAAGAGGGGGACCUUCGGGCCUCUCGCUUCAGGAUAUGCCCAGGUGGGAUUAGCUAGUUGGUGAGGUAAUGGCUCACCAAGGCGACGAUCCCUAGCUGGUCUGAGAGGAUGAUCAGCCACACUGGAACUGAGACACGGUCCAGACUCCUACGGGAGGCAGCAGUGGGGAAUAUUGCACAAUGGGCGCAAGCCUGAUGCAGCCAUGCCGCGUGUAUGAAGAAGGCCUUCGGGUUGUAAAGUACUUUCAGUCGUGA
Molecule: ribosomal RNA, 394 nt
Filed under: Vibrio sp. P5-14
Lineage: Bacteria; Pseudomonadati; Pseudomonadota; Gammaproteobacteria; Vibrionales; Vibrionaceae
Description: bacterial SSU rRNA
Rfam family: Bacterial small subunit ribosomal RNA
Source: RNAcentral